AACAUUCAGUAUUAAGGGUCUCUAUUGCUGCUGGUACUGAAGAUUAUGUAGAACUACAAACUGAAUUUAUGAAUAUAUAAAAUAAUCUAUGCACAUUAUGAAAAUAUUGAUUAUAAUAUUUCACUGAAGAUGUAAUAAUAAAAAUGUUUGCGAUUCUGGCAAUGUCCAGAAAAAUGAAGAUUUGUUACAUGGAUAACUAGUUCUACACUAUCUUGACUAGUCAGAGGCAUCUAAUAGAAAGAAUUCCCACAAAGGAAUUAUUUUACCUUAUUUUUAAUUUAUUCAGAUUCAUCCAGGAAGAAAAUUUAAUUAUACGAUAAAAGGUCACAUAUAACUGUGCAGCAAAUGGCACUAGAAAGAAAAGCAUCCUUCCCCACAUUAAGCUAAAUGAGAACAAUUAAAAAUAUGGUACAAAUUCCUUCCCAAAAGGGAUAACAUGAUUUCUAAGGCAAAACUAUUAUACGAAGAAGUAAGAUAUUGAUAUCAGAAGUUGGCUGGGAAGGUCUCAAAAAGCAAUAAUUUGACCCUGGAACACUACAGCCAUCAUAAAUUCAUGCUGAUUGCCAAAUCUCAGAAUUGCAGUCACAUUACUGCAGGAAAACUUUGACUAUCAUAAAUGUUCAAAGGGAGCAGAAGAAUAAAGGGAAAAAAGAUAAUUUGAAAAUGACAAAUUCCCCAAAAUUUAAAGAAAACGAUCCGGAAAUUGCAAAAGAAAAAAAAAUGUAAUACACACAAAAAAGUCAACAUUUGUACUGGAAAAAUAAAGGUUGCAAAUUCCAUAGAAACAUAAA
Pantherophis guttatus is the source of this 791-nucleotide long non-coding RNA. RefSeq lists it as uncharacterized. NCBI's taxonomy places the organism in Eukaryota, Metazoa, Chordata, Lepidosauria, Squamata, Colubridae. The record is from RefSeq and is a predicted model, not a curated record.